RNAcentral lists this ribosomal RNA (449 nucleotides) under uncultured bacterium. RNAcentral describes it as "bacterial SSU rRNA". It matches the Rfam family "Bacterial small subunit ribosomal RNA", at positions 29 to 524 of the family's 1533-position model. The record is from RNAcentral.
AACGAACGCUGGCGGCAGGCUUAACACAUGCAAGUUGAACGAUGUAGCAAUACAUAGUGGCGCACGGGUGAGUAACGCGUGGGAACGUGCCCUUCAGUACGGGAUAACACCGGGAAACUGGUGCUAAUACCGUAUAUUCCCUCCGGGGAAAGAUUUAUCGCUGAAGGAUCGGCCCGCGUAAGAUUAGGUAGUUGGUGGGGUAAUGGCCUACCAAGCCUACGAUCUUUAGCUGGUCUGAGAGGAUGAUCAACCACACUGGAACUGAGACACGGUCCAGACUCCUACGGGAGGCAGCAGUGGGGAAUAUUGGACAAUGGGCGAAAGCCUGAUCCAGCAAUGCCGCGUGAGUGAUGAAGGCCUUAGGGUUGUAAAGCUCUUUUACCCGAGAUGAUAAUGACAGUAUCGGGAGAAUAAGCUCCGGCUAACUCCGUGCCAGCAGCCGCGGUAAU